Molecule: ribosomal RNA, 1304 nt
Filed under: metagenome
Description: bacterial LSU rRNA
Rfam family: Bacterial large subunit ribosomal RNA
Source: RNAcentral
CCUACACGACCGUACCGCAAACCGACACUGGUGCGCGAGAUGAGUAUUCUAAGGCGCUUGAGAGAACUCGGGAGAAGGAACUCGGCAAAUUGACACCGUAACUUCGGAAGAAGGUGUGCCUUUAGUAGGUGAAGGGAUUUACUCCUGGAGCCCAAUGAGGUUGCAAAAAAUCGGUGGCUGCGACUGUUUAUUAAAAACACAGCACUCUGCAAACACGAAAGUGGACGUAUAGGGUGUGACGCCUGCCCGGUGCUGGAAGAUUAAAUGAUGGGGUGCAAGCUCUUGAUUGAAGUCCCAGUAAACGGCGGCCGUAACGAUAACGGUCCUAAGGUAGCGAAAUUCCUUGUCGGGUAAGUUCCGACCUGCACGAAUGGCGUAACGAUGGCCACACUGUCUCCUCCCGAGACUCAGCGAAGUUGAAAUGUUUGUGAUGAUGCAAUCUCCCCGCGGAAAGACGGAAAGACCCCAUGAACCUUUACUGUAGCUUUGUAUUGGACUUUGAACAGAUCUGUGUAGGAUAGGUGGGAGGCUUUGAAGUAGGGUCGCUAGAUCUUAUGGAGCCAACGUUGAAAUACCACCCUGGUGUGUUUGAGGUUCUAACCUAGGUCCAUUAUCUGGAUCGGGGACAGUGCAUGGUAGGCAGUUUGACUGGGGCGGUCUCCUCCCAAAGCGUAACGGAGGAGUUCGAAGGUACGCUAGUUACGGUCGGACAUCGUGACGAUAGUGCAAUGGCAUAAGCGUGCUUAACUGCGAGACUGACAAGUCGAGCAGAUGCGAAAGCAGGACAUAGUGAUCCGGUGGUUCUGUAUGGAAGGGCCAUCGCUCAACGGAUAAAAGGUACUCUGGGGAUAACAGGCUGAUACCGCCCAAGAGUUCAUAUCGACGGCGGUGUUUGGCACCUCGAUGUCGGCUCAUCUCAUCCUGGGGCUGUAGCCGGUCCCAAGGGUAUGGCUGUUCGCCAUUUAAAGAGGUACGUGAGCUGGGUUUAAAACGUCGUGAGACAGUUUGGUCCCUAUCUUCCGUGGGCGCUGCAGAUUUGAGGAAGCCUGCUCCUAGUACGAGAGGACCGGAGUGGACACACCUCUGGUGUAUCGGUUGUCACGCCAGUGGCAUUGCCGAGUAGCUAAGUGUGGAAGAGAUAACCGCUGAAAGCAUCUAAGCGGGAAACUCGUUUCAAGAUGAGAUCUGCCGGGGCCUUGAGCCCCCUAAAGAGUCGUUCAAGACCAGGACGUUGAUAGGUCAGGUGUGGAAGCGCAGUAAUGCGUUAAGCUAACUGAUACUAAUUGCUCGUGCGGCUUGACCCC